GAUUUCUGGCGAACUUGAUUUCAGGCCGGCCACGGUUUCGUGUGUUAGUGCUUGAAAUCUUCGCCAUCCUUCCAAUGGCUAUUCAUCCUUCUUCAUUGAGGUGGUGAGUGGUAUUGGAUCUUUUACUUUGAAAAAAUUAGAGUGUUUCAAGCAGGCUUUAUGCUAUGAAUACAUUAGCAUGGAAUAAUAAUUUAGGACUUCGGUUCUAUUUUGUUGGUUUCUAGGACUGAAGUAAUGAUUGAUAGGGAUAGUUGGGGGUGCUAGUAUUCAGCGGCCAGAGGUGAAAUUCUCGGAUUCGCUGAAGACUAACUUAUGCGAAAGCAUU
Molecule: ribosomal RNA, 325 nt
Filed under: uncultured Limnofilidae
Lineage: Eukaryota; Cercozoa; Limnofilidae
Description: SSU rRNA
Rfam family: Eukaryotic small subunit ribosomal RNA
Source: RNAcentral